RNAcentral lists this ribosomal RNA (460 nucleotides) under uncultured bacterium. Its description in RNAcentral is "partial 16S ribosomal RNA". It matches the Rfam family "Bacterial small subunit ribosomal RNA", at positions 338 to 795 of the family's 1533-position model. The record is from RNAcentral.
CCUACGGGUGGCAGCAGUGAGGAAUAUUGGUCAAUGGACGAGAGUCUGAACCAGCCAAGUAGCGUGAAGGAUGACUGCUCUAUGGGUUGUAAACUUCUUUUAUAAAGGAAUAAAACGAGGCACGUGUGCCUUUUUGCAUGUACUUUAUGAAUAAGGAUCGGCUAACUCCGUGCCAGCAGCCGCGGUAAUACGGAGGAUCCGAGCUUUAUCCGGAUUUAUUGGGUUUAAAGGGAGCGUAGAUGGGUUGUUAAGUCCGUUGUGAAAGGUUGCGGCUCAACCGUAAAAUUGCAAUUGAUACUGGCAGUCUUGAGUACAGUUGAGGUAGGCGGAAUUCGUGGUGUAGCGGUGAAAUGCUUAGAUAUCACGAAGAACCCCGAUUGCGAAGGCAGCUUACUAAACUGUGACUGACAUUGAUGCUCGAAAGUGUGGGUAUCAAACAGGAUUAGAUACCCUUGUAGUC